Molecule: long non-coding RNA, 777 nt
Organism: Lycium barbarum (goji berry)
Lineage: Eukaryota; Viridiplantae; Streptophyta; Magnoliopsida; Solanales; Solanaceae
Exons: 2
Source: RefSeq, a predicted model, not a curated record
GGAGCGAUUUGGUUAUUGAAAUCUAUGAUAAUCCUGCUUCUAAUUCUGAAUUUCACAUGCCUAAAUAUCUUGUUUUAUUCUUGCAGUGAUACAUUAACUGGUGCUACAAAUGAUUAUUUCCGUUGUGUUCUUCCGCGAGAUAGGUGUUGUCAAACAUGUGCAUAGAGCUGUAUUUGUUGACUUUUGGAGCCAAUUACUGUGGAUGAAGUGAGAACUGUUGUAUCCCGGCAAUGCUUGAAUUGCAAGAACUUAACUGGGCUCUAAUGCAUAUGAAGGGCAAAACCUGUGUUGCUUAAGUUUUCAGAAUGACGUUAGCAGCCAGUUUUUACUACAUUUGGCAAGAGAGGAAUAAAAGAAUCUUCCAAGUAGAGAAAUUCUGGAAUUUUUAGCAAGCAGAUCAGAUGUUCAUGGUAGAGGUGUUUUGUUUCCUAGACAAGCCAGUCAAUUGGAAGAAAUUAACAUCUAUCCCUAUGAUCUGUGUAGUCCUUUGAAAUAGGGAGAUAGCUUUUGUUACUAGGAGACUGUGAACUUGGGGCUGUUGUCCAAGUUACCUGGUUAUGCUUUGUAAAUACGCUAUGUACUUACCAAACGAUACAUGAAGAAUUAUAAAUGACUGGAUCAUUUUGUAUACUUUUCGGAUGAGCGUGUUUGAAUGCAUUUGAAAGGAUUAUUACUUUUUUUUUUUGGUUCGAAACUCAGCAGAAAAAUAGCAGUCCAAAACAUCAGUCCAAAACAACAGAAAAAAAGCAAAAAACAGCAGUCCAAAACAGCGAAAAA